CAGGGAAUAGUUUAAUUUAGAAUUCCAGCUUUGGGUGUUGGCGGUAAAGAUGGGUCUUUUUCCCUGA
RNAcentral lists this transfer RNA (67 nucleotides) under Laonastes aenigmamus (Laotian rock rat). RNAcentral's name for it is "tRNA-Pro". The record is from RNAcentral. Lineage: Eukaryota; Metazoa; Chordata; Mammalia; Rodentia; Laonastidae.